CGUGCUACAAUGGCAUAUACAAUGAGACGCAAUACCGCGAGGUGGAGCAAAUCUAUAAAAUAUGUCCCAGUUCGGAUUGUUCUCUGCAACUCGAGAGCAUGAAGCCGGAAUCGCUAGUAAUCGUAGAUCAGCCAUGCUACGGUGAAUACGUUCCCGGGUCUUGUACUCACCGCCCGUCACACCAUGGGAGUUGAUUUCACUCGAAGCCGGAAUACUAAACUAGUUACCGUCCACAGUGGAAUCAGCGACUGGGGUGAAGUCGUAACAAGGUAACCGUAGGAGAACCUGCGGUUGGAUCACCUCCUUU
This 307-nucleotide ribosomal RNA is filed under the name Campylobacter jejuni. RNAcentral's name for it is "partial 16S ribosomal RNA". It matches the Rfam family "Bacterial small subunit ribosomal RNA", at positions 1221 to 1533 of the family's 1533-position model. The record is from RNAcentral. Lineage: Bacteria; Pseudomonadati; Campylobacterota; Epsilonproteobacteria; Campylobacterales; Campylobacteraceae.